AAUCGUACCCCAAACCGACACAGGUGGUCAGGUAGAGAAUACCAAGGCGCUUGAGAGAACUCGGGUGAAGGAACUAGGCAAAAUGGUGCCGUAACUUCGGGAGAAGGCACGCUGGUGUGUAGGUGAAGCCCCUGCGGGUGGAGCUGAGACCAGUCGAAGAUACCAGCUGGCUGCAACUGUUUAUUAAAAACACAGCACUGUGCAAACACGAAAGUGGACGUAUACGGUGUGACGCCUGCCCGGUGCCGGAAGGUUAAUUGAUGGGGUUAUCCGUAAGGAGAAGCUCUUGAUCGAAGCCCCGGUAAACGGCGGCCGUAACUAUAACGGUCCUAAGGUAGCGAAAUUCCUUGUCGGGUAAGUUCCGACCUGCACGAAUGGCGUAAUGAUGGCCAGGCUGUCUCCACCCGAGACUCAGUGAAAUUGAACUCGCUGUGAAGAUGCAGUGUACCCGCGGCAAGACGGAAAGACCCCGUGAACCUUUACUAUAGCUUGACACUGAACAUUGAGCCUUGAUGUGUAGGAUAGGUGGGAGGCUUUGAAGCGUGGACGCCAGUCUGCGUGGAGCCAACCUUGAAAUACCACCCUUUAAUGUUUGAUGUUCUAACGUUGGCCCCUGACCGGGGUUGCGGACAGUGUCUGGUGGGUAGUUUGACUGGGGCGGUCUCCUCCCAAAGCGUAACGGAGGAGCACGAAGGUUAGCUAAUCCUGGUCGGACAUCAGGAGGUUAGUGCAAUGGCAUAAGCUAGCUUGACUGCGAGCGUGACGGCGCGAGCAGGUGCGAAAGCAGGUCAUAGUGAUCCGGUGGUUCUGAAUGGAAGGGCCAUCGCUCAACGGAUAAAAGGUACUCCGGGGAUAACAGGCUGAUACCGCCCAAGAGUUCAUAUCGACGGCGGUGUUUGGCACCUCGAUGUCGGCUCAUCACAUCCUGGGGCUGAAGUAGGUCCCAAGGGUAUGGCUGUUCGCCAUUUAAAGUGGUACGCGAGCUGGGUUUAGAACGUCGUGAGACAGUUCGGUCCCUAUCUGCCGUGGGCGCUGGAGAAUUGAGGGGGGCUGCUCCUAGUACGAGAGGACCGGAGUGGACGCAUCACUGGUGUUCGGGUUGUCAUGCCAAUGGCACUGCCCGGUAGCUAAAUGCGGAAGAGAUAAGUGCUGAAAGCAUCUAAGCACGAAACUUGCCCCGAGAUGAGUUCUCCCUGAGACUUUAAGUCUCCUGAAGGAACGUUGAAGACGACGACGUUGAUAGGCCGGGUGUGUAAGCGCAGCGAUGCGUUGAGCUAACCGGUACUAAUGAACCGUGAGGCUUAACCUU
Molecule: ribosomal RNA, 1309 nt
Filed under: Klebsiella pneumoniae
Lineage: Bacteria; Pseudomonadati; Pseudomonadota; Gammaproteobacteria; Enterobacterales; Enterobacteriaceae
Description: partial 23S ribosomal RNA
Rfam family: Bacterial large subunit ribosomal RNA
Source: RNAcentral